CGUAAAGCUGUGUUGUAAGAGAAGAACGGGUGUGAGAGUGGAAAGUUCACACUGUGACGGUAUCUUACCGGAAAGGGACGGCUAACUACGUGCCAGCAGCCGCGGUAAUACGUAGGUCCCGAGCGUUGUCCGGAUUUAUUGGGCGUAAAGCGAGCGCAGGCGGUUAGAUAAGUCUGAAGUUAAAGGCUGUGGCUUAACCAUAGUACGCUUUGGAAACUGUUUAACUUGAGUGCAGAAGGGGAGAGUGGAAUUCCAUGUGUAGCGGUGAAAUGCGUAGAUAUAUGGAGGAACACCGGUGGCGAAAGCGGCUCUCUGGUCUGUAACUGACGCUGAGGCUCGAAAGCGUGGGGAGCGAACAGG
Molecule: ribosomal RNA, 360 nt
Filed under: uncultured Streptococcus sp.
Lineage: Bacteria; Bacillati; Bacillota; Bacilli; Lactobacillales; Streptococcaceae
Description: bacterial SSU rRNA
Rfam family: Bacterial small subunit ribosomal RNA
Source: RNAcentral